This 491-nucleotide ribosomal RNA is filed under the name uncultured bacterium. RNAcentral's name for it is "partial 16S ribosomal RNA". It matches the Rfam family "Bacterial small subunit ribosomal RNA", at positions 29 to 507 of the family's 1533-position model. The record is from RNAcentral.
GUGCACGCUGGCGGUAGGCCUAACCCCUGCAAGUCGCACGGCAGCACAGUAAGAGCUUGCUCUUACGGGUGGCGAGUGGCGGACGGGUGAGGAAUACAUCGGAAUCUACUUUUUCGUGGGGGAUAACGUAGGGAAACUUACGCUAAUACCGCAUACGACCUACGGGUGAAAGCAGGGGAUCUUCGGACCUUGCGCGAUUGAAUGAGCCGAUGUCGGAUUAGCUAGUUGGCGGGGUAAAGGCCCACCAAGGCGACGAUCCGUAGCUGGUCUGAGAGGAUGAUCAGCCACACUGGAACUGAGACACGGUCCAGACUCCUACGGGAGGCAGCAGUGGGGAAUAUUGGACAAUGGGCGCAAGCCUGAUCCAGCCAUACCGCGUGGGUGAAGAAGGCCUUCGGGUUGUAAAGCCCUUUUGUUGGGAAAGAAAAGCAGCAGGUUAAUACCCCGCUGUUCUGACGGUACCCAAAGAAUAAGCACCGGCUAACUUCAUG